RNAcentral lists this ribosomal RNA (344 nucleotides) under Salmonella enterica subsp. enterica serovar Enteritidis. Its description in RNAcentral is "partial 23S ribosomal RNA". It matches the Rfam family "Bacterial large subunit ribosomal RNA", at positions 910 to 1251 of the family's 2925-position model. The record is from RNAcentral. Lineage: Bacteria; Pseudomonadati; Pseudomonadota; Gammaproteobacteria; Enterobacterales; Enterobacteriaceae.
CUGUUUCGGCUAGGGGGCCAUCCCGGCUUACCAACCCGAUGCAAACUGCGAAUACCGGAGAAUGUUAUCACGGGAGACACACGGCGGGUGCUAACGUCCGUCGUGAAGAGGGAAACAACCCAGACCGCCAGCUAAGGUCCCAAAGUCAUGGUUAAGUGGGAAACGAUGUGGGAAGGCCCAGACAGCCAGGAUGUUGGCUUAGAAGCAGCCAUCAUUUAAAGAAAGCGUAAUAGCUCACUGGUCGAGUCGGCCUGCGCGGAAGAUGUAACGGGGCUAAACCAUGCACCGAAGCUGCGGCAGCGACGCUGAUGCGUUGUUGGGUAGGGGAGCGUUCUGUAAGCCUG